AGUCAUGAGUUUGAUCCUGGCUCAGGAUUAGAUACCCUGGAACCUUUGAGUUACGUUCUGGGCGACGAGCGGCGGACGGGUGAGUAAUGCCUGGGAAUAUGCCUUAGUGUGGGGGAUAACUAUUGGAAACGAUAGCUAAUACCGCAUAAUGUCUUCGGACCAAAGAGGGGGACCUUCGGGCCUCUCGCGCUAAGAUUAGCCCAGGUGGGAUUAGCUAGUUGGUGGGGUAAAGGCUCACCAAGGCGACGAUCCCUAGCUGGUCUGAGAGGAUGAUCAGCCACACUGGAACUGAGACACGGUCCAGACUCCUACGGGAGGCAGCAGUGGGGAAUAUUGCACAAUGGGGGAAACCCUGAUGCAGCCAUGCCGCGUGUAUGAAGAAGGCCUUCGGGUUGUAAAGUACUUUCAGUCGUGAGGAAGGGUGUGUAGUUAAUAGCUGCGCACCUUGACGUUAGCGACAGAAGAAGCACCGGCUAACUCCGUGCCAGCAGCCGCGGUAAUACGGAGGGUGCGAGCGUUAAUCGGAAUUACUGGGCGUAAAGCGCAUGCAGGCGGUCUGUUAAGCAAGAUGUGAAAGCCCGGGGCUCAACCUCGGAACAGCAUUUUGAACUGGCAGACUAGAGUCUUGUAGAGGGGGGUAGAAUUUCAGGUGUAGCGGUUCAAUGCGUAGAGA
Molecule: ribosomal RNA, 673 nt
Filed under: Hyphomicrobium sp. S884
Lineage: Bacteria; Pseudomonadati; Pseudomonadota; Alphaproteobacteria; Hyphomicrobiales; Hyphomicrobiaceae
Description: bacterial SSU rRNA
Rfam family: Bacterial small subunit ribosomal RNA
Source: RNAcentral